AAAUGGGAGUCUCCUGAGUGAAAGCAUCUGAAGUUCUUCAAAGGGGGAAUCCCACUAUGUGAAGUUUUGAAACUCGAUGACAACAGAGGUCCAUCCCUCCCCCUGGUUAUCGGUGGCCAGCCAGCGUAUACGGUGAGACGCCUCCUGAAGGUUCGACCACGGGGCAGGGGUUUCCAGUACCUGGUUGACUGGGAGGGUUAUGGCCCGGAGGAGAGGUACUGGGUCCCGGCUAAAGACAUCUUGGAUCUGGCCCUCAUCGCCGAUUUCCACCGCCGACACCGUGGUCAGCCAGUCCUCCUGGUUUUGACCCUUGACUGUUUUUGGACUUUGUACCCGCCUGCCUGACCAUUCUGCCAGCCUUGACCAUGAGCUGGUCUGCCACCCACUCUGCACCUCCUGGACUCUGAUCUGGUUUUGACCUUUUUGCCUAUCCACGACCAUUCUCUUGC
Long non-coding RNA from Oncorhynchus tshawytscha (Chinook salmon), 449 nucleotides. NCBI's taxonomy places the organism in Eukaryota, Metazoa, Chordata, Actinopteri, Salmoniformes, Salmonidae. The record is from Ensembl.